RNAcentral lists this unclassified non-coding RNA (377 nucleotides) under plant metagenome. RNAcentral's name for it is "partial contains 5.8S ribosomal RNA, internal transcribed spacer 2, and large subunit ribosomal RNA". The stretch from base 1 to 104 matches the Rfam family "5.8S ribosomal RNA", at positions 51 to 154 of the family's 154-position model. The record is from RNAcentral.
AAAUGCGAUAAGUAAUGUGAAUUGCAGAAUUCAGUGAAUCAUCGAAUCUUUGAACGCACCUUGCGCUCCUUGGUAUUCCUUGGAGCAUGCCUGUUUGAGUAUCAUGAAAUCUUCAAAGUAAAUCUUUUGUUAACUCAAUUGGUUUCUACUUUGGUAUUGGAGGUCUUUGCAGCUUCACACCUGCUCCUCUUUGUUCAUUAGCUGGAUCUCAGUGUUAUGCUUGGUUCCACUCGGCGUGAUAAGUUAUCUAUCGCUGAGGACACUGCAAAAGGUGGCCAAGGUAAAUGCAGAUGAACCGCUUCUAAUAGUCCAUUGACUUGGACAAUACUUUUAUGAUCUGAUCUCAAAUCAGGUAGGACUACCCGCUGAACUUAAGC